Zonotrichia albicollis (white-throated sparrow) is the source of this 4206-nucleotide non-coding RNA. The record is from RefSeq and is a predicted model, not a curated record. Lineage: Eukaryota; Metazoa; Chordata; Aves; Passeriformes; Passerellidae.
UUAUACUAUUUUCUGACAGCAUAUAAUCUAUUUAAAUUUAUUAAAGCUUCUCGGAGAAAAUUUAAGAUGACAGAAGUAUCAUUAUGCCCCAUAAAUAACCGGACAGCCUUGCUGAAAUAACUGUAUUUUACAUACAAAUCCUACAUAUGUGUGCGCAUAUGUUAUUUCAUUUGACACACAAAUACAUGCUCAACGGAUAUUUCACAAAAGGAAUUGUGUUAUCCAGUUCAAUCUCUCAAUAUAAAUGACCACAAGAGGUACGAAUACUAAACACUAGAUACAUUCCAUAUAUUUGCCUUUUUACCACCAGCCUUUUUCCCAAUUUUUUACAGUGCUAUGAAACAGGAGUAAUUCAGGAGCUACAAAUGUUUACAGUAUAUCACAUCAAGGAUGAUAAUGUGAAUUUUAGCUCUGGAAAAAGGUGAUCCACUCCAUGAGAAACGCACACUGCGGCGUAUGCUGCACGCUAAUGUCCGAUGCACAAUUCCCUGCUCAACUUCCCUGCUCCUUCUCCUACCCGGGCAAAACCCAGCUGUGUUACGGUUACUGGUGGAACUGAUUUAAGCAGAAAAUGUUUAUAGAUGUUAGAAAACAUUACACAUUACGCAAAAUGGCUUAAUAGCAUACAUGUGCAUGUUUAAUGCACGUACUUUUUAUUGUCUAAUUAAAAUGUAUACCAUUAAAAAAUCUUUACAGGCUUGAGAGUAAGUUAUGCAGGACAGUUAUGAAACCUUACCUUACAGAAAGUAUAAAGUACGUAUUGUGAGAUCUGCACUGCUAAUUAAAAAAAUGCUUAUGCAAAAAGAUUUAGGAUUUCUUAAUUCUUCAGCAGAUGUGCACUUGGUCUGCCUCCUGAUUAAUACACGUUAGGGUAACAGUCUCUUGCUUGGAUUUUUUUUAAAAACAGAUAUUCCCACUGUUUUAGAAUACUUUACAGGAAUGAAAGUGACACAUAUUUAAAGUUUGAGUUCAAGUGUUUGAAUACAAACAUGAAACUGUCACACAACAAAACUAACCUCACUCCCCUGGUUCAUUUCCAUUAGUACCUAAAUCCUAACUGUUUAUUAAAGUAAAACCAAGUGGCUAUUAAUACUCUUUACGGUUAUUUCCACUAAAAACUACACAGUAACAGUCUCUGUGAUACAGCCAUGAAGACACAUUACACACACUCUUGUAAAAAUCCCGGCGUAUCAACCCGAGGUCCAUCCUGACUGCUUGGCAACAUGUUUGAAGGAAAGAUAUUACAAGUUUUCCAAACUCUAGGAAUGCAGUCAUCCAAUAUACAGUGCUUAAUCAGAACCAAACUCCUCUAUUAUACACCAACACAAAACUUACACACAGAGAGAAAAAACCAAAUCCACGUUUCUUUACAAUUCAGCGAUCCAGAAAUAAAAGCUGAAUUCCACAGAACUUUUAGGUUUUUCUGCAUUGCACUAAUUUAAUGCCUUCUUCUCUGCAGCUCUAGGCAGCGUAAACAUAAUCAAAUCCCAAGUCCCUCUGAAAGUGUAAAAAUGCACUUCAAACCAUCAUCACUUUAAAAAAAACAAACAAACCCCAAAACCCCAGCCCAUGCACAAAAAACUAACUUUGCAAUCAAAACCGUAAGCAACAGAAAGCCUUGUCUGAAAUAGUAGUUAUUUUUCUCAGAGUUAUCCUUUGGUUUCACAACAAAGAUCAGCAUUUGUAAUGGUCCAUUUCUGCAUAAGUGAACAUAUAGCCUUGCUGCCUGAUCGAAUAGUCCAGAGCUUUCAGUGAGGCAGCUCCUGACAACAGCCCAGCAGCAGCUUUGUUUGAUCUCUCCUGCCUUCCUUAAUCUGGGUUGUCAAGGUUCACUUGUUGGAGGCUGUUAACUUUACUUUUUCCAGAGAAAAAAAAAAAAAAGUGAUUUUUUUUUUCCUGUCUCUCAUACAAUGACUAAUCCAAAGACUAAGGGGGAAGAAUGCUGCCAAUGCAAGAUGUUAAAGCUACAAUACCUUUUUGCAAUGAGAUUUUAGCCGACACCUUUUGAAUGGUAACUAGUGGAGAGCUUCCUCCCCCAGUGCCCUGGUCCAUUCAGUAUGGUUGGGAGAUAGUUCAAACAAAAUGUGCAGGGGAAAAGCUUCAGAGGAAAGAAGUUGAAACGAGUAGCCCCAAAUUUCCCUGUCUUCCCCCAAAUCUAGCUGCCGAGAUGCACGGUACCUCCUUGUCCACACUCGCUUCUCUGGGAACUUGAGUUAUUUCAGGCUCUCUCAAACUUACAGAACACAAGAGCUUCUCAGCAGUAACAAAAACUGUAAAAAUAAUACUCAACCGAGCAAAAUGCAUGUUUUCCAAAAUAUUAAAGUAAGCUGUGGAUUACCAGCACAGGCAAAAAAGUUUCUUUGAUGACAUGCUUGCAACUUUGUCUAAUUAAGCAGCUGUCACUAGUGACAUCAACAUUUGGUCAAAUCAGGUAAAAUCCAACUUUAGAAAAACUGUAUGGAAAGCAAACACAGUUUAGAGAACUGUUUUAAUAUUCAGAACCAUCCAGCACCCCAGAAAUCAGCAGGCUAUACAGUGUAGACGACAGGCUACGAGCAGUACACAUCCAUUACUCACUCCGAGAACAGUUACUAAAAAUGAAACCUUAAACUUCUGAGCACAGAAGUUGGGCUCCAGCUUCUCUACAGAAGCGGCUCGGAGAGCGCUCGCAGGCGGCGGAUGCCUCGGAAAAACAUCUUUCAGGGCUCCUAUCCUGACCUCUCCUGAGAGACAUCAUCUCCUGGAAGACCUUCAGCACAUCCUACAAAUAAGAAGUGCCCAAGUGCAAUCCUCCUUCUCCCAGCAGCCCGCCUGCCCAAGUUCACGCUGUUCCCUGAAUAAUAAAGCAUAAUCAGCUCUGUAUUAAAGCAAAACCUGUCCCCAGCAUCAGUGCUACCAACCCCUGUCGUAACAUAACAAGGACUCUUCCCAAAAUAUUUGGGCUUGCCCUGUCACAGUGAGAGGCGUUCAAGUUCAGCGCUCUGUCAACAAUGCCAGGUGUCUCCUGAACCUCCGGCGCCCGAGCCAAGAGAGGGAGCUCAGAAGCACAGGAAUAAUCAUUAUUCACAUUACUAAAAUGUAACGGAAUGUUUAAACAGAUAACGUAACACAAUCCCUCACAGCAGAAAAAAAAAAUACUGUUUAUUAUUUAUCCCUGUCAGAUAGAAAAUGAACUCAAUCUCCUGGAAAGCAAAAGCAAGGCUCCUUUCUUUUUUUUUUUUCCCUUCUUUUUGCAACUGACAGCCAUGAAAAAAAUAUUCUAUUGUGGCAGCUGCGCCCCUUCAAAGGGGCUGAUGUUCGCUGUGGUUCUUGAUAAACCAACUGGCAAAUUUUGGGGGUGAAAAAGAAGUGACUUGAAGCCAAACACAUCUAAGAAAAAAAAGCCUCGUGAAAUCAAAAAUCCAAGAACAAUUUCAUGUUGAGUCAAUCCGAAGAUUUCAUUUCAAUUUUGAUUUUUUGGGGGAAUAAGAAAAAAGACACACACCCCCUUGCUUGAAAAUAAAAUUAAAGGACAUUUUGAACACAAAGUAGUUUCAAAAUGAAAAAUCAAAGUGUUUCAUGUCAGAAGUGUCAAAACUAACAGCUUCAGCAUUUGUCAGAGCUUUUUUGAGUUUUUAUAAAUGACAAGUUUGGCAUGUGUGCACAGACCGUUUUGGUGCUGCUGAAUCUGCAUUUUUGCAUGCAAAAAAAAUUGGUCGGGUGAAAUUUUCUGCGGAGAAACCGUUUGCCAUUCCCUUUGUGUGGAGACCAGCAGCGCUCUCCCCCAUGGCUGCAGUGUGCAGGAGCCUCACUGACACCUCCAGCUCCUCUUUGGCUUAUUAAUAUUUUACCCUUCAGUUUGCAGGACUCCGCAGGCCGGGUCUUUUCCAGAGCCAGCUCCCUGGUUAGCAGGAGGAGGUACAAAGGUUAGGAGAGACCGACUGUGCAUCUCCAGCUUGAUGUGCUGCUGUGUGACAGGCGGCCACAGACCCAUCCUAAGGUGACAUUAGGGUUCUCAUCAACUGCCCAAAGGAAAGAAGGACAAGAAUCCUGCCUCCUUCUAAACAGGUGACUUUGCAUUACCAGGGCCAUGGAAUGCCAGCAAAUCGUUCAGUGGGAAAUCAUCUGACCCGAGGCCAACACCAUGCAGAAAAAGACAGAGUUAUGCAUUGCUAUUGUGAAGAAGUUUCAGAUUAAAUAAAUGUAUUUUCUUCUGAACUUGUAAAA